GUGGGGAAUAUUGGACAAUGGGCGCAAGCCUGAUCCAGCCAUGCCGCGUGAGUGAUGAAGGCCCUAGGGUUGUAAAGCUCUUUCAGCGAGGAGGAUAAUGACGUUACUCGCAGAAGAAGCCCCGGCUAACUUCGUGCCAGCAGCCGCGGUAAUACGAAGGGGGCUAGCGUUGUUCGGAAUCACUGGGCGUAAAGGGCACGUAGGCGGACUUUUAAGUCAGGGGUGAAAUCCCGGGGCUCAACCUCGGAACUGCCUUUGAUACUGGAAGUCUUGAGGCCGAGAGAGGUGAGUGGAAUUCCGAGUGUAGAGGUGAAAUUCGUAGAUAUUCGGAAGAACACCAGUGGCGAAGGCGGCUCACUGGCUCGGUACUGACGCUGAGGUGCGAAAGCGUGGGGAGCAAACAGGAUUAGAAACCCCAGUAGUCC
This 425-nucleotide ribosomal RNA is filed under the name uncultured bacterium. Its description in RNAcentral is "partial 16S ribosomal RNA". It matches the Rfam family "Bacterial small subunit ribosomal RNA", at positions 354 to 796 of the family's 1533-position model. The record is from RNAcentral.